CUUGGCGACCAUAGCGUUUUGGACCCACCUGACUCCAUUCCGAACUCAGAAGUGAAACGAAAUAGCGCCGAUGGUAGUGUGGG
Molecule: ribosomal RNA, 83 nt
Filed under: Vibrio parahaemolyticus
Lineage: Bacteria; Pseudomonadati; Pseudomonadota; Gammaproteobacteria; Vibrionales; Vibrionaceae
Source: RNAcentral